UGCCACUGACGUGGCAAGAUGUAAUGCUGGAAUGAGCAUACAGCCCUGUCAAUUUGAGAGCUCAAACUUAACGGAUCUUGACCUAACUCGGCCUGACCAUAUAGCGAAGACAUCGGAUAGAAGUUCUGACCGCGGGAAUGCAUCGGUUAGCGUUCCGCGAAGCUCCGGGGAGGGGAGGACAGCAGAAUCUGUUGAAUUCACAUCGGGUUGUGAUUCGGCUCGAGAAGUGACCCGAAUGGAUCAAGGCUUCUGGGCCACUCCAGGCGAUCGGACCUGCACCGUUGGAGUCGCCUGGAGGUCUUCUGUGGAUUGGCGAU
Molecule: unclassified non-coding RNA, 317 nt
Filed under: Hevea brasiliensis (rubber tree)
Lineage: Eukaryota; Viridiplantae; Streptophyta; Magnoliopsida; Malpighiales; Euphorbiaceae
Source: RNAcentral